AGUGAACGCUGGCGGUAGGCCUAACACAUGCAGGUCGAACGGCAGCACAGUAAGAGUUUGCUCUUACGGGUGGCGAGUGGCGGACGGGUGAGGAAUACAUCGGAAUCUACUUUUUCGUGGGGGAUAACGUAGGGAAACUUACGCUAAUACCGCAUACGACCUACGGGCGAAAGCAGUGGAUCUUCGCACCUUGCGUGAUUGAAUGAGCCGAUGUCGGAUUAGCUAGUUGGCUGGGUAAAGGCACACCAAGGCGACGAUCCGUAGCUGGUCUGAGAGGAUGAUCAGCCACACUGGAACUGAGACACGGUCCAGACUCCUACGGGAGGCAGCAGUGGGGAAUAUUGGACAAUGGGCGAAAGCCUGAUCCAGCCAUACCGCGUGGGUGAAGAAGGCCUUCGGGUUGUAAAGCCCUUUUGUUAGGAAAGAAAAGCAGCAGGUUAAUACCCCGCUGUUCUGACGGUACCCAAAGAAUAAGCACCGGCUAACUUCGUG
This 492-nucleotide ribosomal RNA is filed under the name uncultured bacterium. RNAcentral describes it as "partial 16S ribosomal RNA". It matches the Rfam family "Bacterial small subunit ribosomal RNA", at positions 29 to 507 of the family's 1533-position model. The record is from RNAcentral.